This 497-nucleotide ribosomal RNA is filed under the name uncultured bacterium. Its description in RNAcentral is "partial 16S ribosomal RNA". It matches the Rfam family "Bacterial small subunit ribosomal RNA", at positions 28 to 507 of the family's 1533-position model. The record is from RNAcentral.
GAUGAACGCUGGCGGCGUGCCUAAUACAUGCAAGUCGAGCGAACAGACGAGGAGCUUGCUCCUCUGACGUUAGCGGCGGACGGGUGAGUAACACGUGGAUAACCUCCCUAUAAGACUGGGAUAACUUCGGGAAACCGGAGCUAAUCCCGGAUAAUAUAUUGCACCGCAUGGUUCAAUAGUGAAAGACGGUUUUGCUGUCACUUAUAGAUGGAUCUGCGCCGCAUUAGCUAGUUGGUAAGGUAACGGCCUAUCAAGGCAGCGAUGCGUAGGCGACGUGAGGGGGGGAUCGGCUGCGCGUGAACUGGAACACGGUCCUGACGCCUACGGGAGGGGGCAGGGGGGAAGCCGCCGAGAUAGUCGCAUGCUUGUCGCAGCGGCCUCACGUGGGAGAUGAAGGUCUUGGGAGCGGAAAGCUGUGAUAUUAGGGAUGAACAAAUGGGUAAGUACCUAUCCACCUCUUGACGGUAGCUAAUCAGAAAGCCACGGCUAACUACGUG